GAUGAACGCUAGCUACAGGCUUAACACAUGCAAGUCGAGGGGUAACGAGAGGGAAGCUUGCUUUCCUUGUCGACGACCGGCGCACGGGUGAGUAACGCGUAUCCAACCUGCCCCCAACUAGGGAAUAACCUUGCGAAAGUAAGACUAAUACCCUAUAAUUUCCUCAGAUGUCAUCUGACGAGGAAUAAAGAUUUAUCGGUUGUGGAUGGGGAUGCGUCUGAUUAGCUUGUUGGCGGGGUAACGGCCCACCAAGGCAACGAUCAGUAGGGGUUCUGAUAGGAAGGUCCACCACAUUGGGACUGAGACACGGUCCAAACUCCUACGGGAGGCAGCAGUGAGGAAUAUUGGUCAAUGGGCGGAAGCUUGAACCAGCCAAGUGGCGUGCAGGAUGACGGCCCUAUGGGUUGUACACUGCUUUUAUACAGGAAUAAAGUUAGCCACGUGUGGUUAUUUGUAGGUACUGUAUGAAUAAGGACCGGCUAAUUCCGUGCCAGCCGCCGCAGUAA
RNAcentral lists this ribosomal RNA (506 nucleotides) under uncultured bacterium. RNAcentral describes it as "partial 16S ribosomal RNA". It matches the Rfam family "Bacterial small subunit ribosomal RNA", at positions 28 to 523 of the family's 1533-position model. The record is from RNAcentral.